GGCCAGGUGGGCAGGGUGAUGGCCAGGUGGGCAGGGUGAUGGCCAGGGGAUCACCACGGUGGACCAUCUUGGGCAGGCAGGGUGCUAAGGGUUUUCACAGCCGCCUGCCCAGGGUGACCCUGGACCCAGGGCACUGGGGGAGGGGCGGUGCUAGGGAGCCCUCUGUCAGGAGACCCUGGGCCUCGCACCACUCUGUCCACCUUGAACGUGGCAGUCCAGUCUGGGACAUUUCUCACGUCCCUCUCCGACUGCCCCACCUGUCCGUCAGACUCCACACCCUGUGGGCCGUUGCCUCUCCUGAAACCUUAUCCUCCUUUCUCUGCCCAGAAAACUCCUAUUGAUCCUUCUCACUAAGCCACAGCGAAGUGUGUUGUCCCUGAACAGAGGAGACGGGACCCUGUCUGUGGGGUGUGCCUCCCCGGGCCCCAGUGGAGCUCCUUCACUAUCCCGUGGCUCUGGCAUCCCCGGCUUGUGACCUCUGCCUCCCAUGUCUUGUGGCCUUCUGAGUGUCUCAGUGUCCCAGAUCUCUCUCUUUCUCUUUUUUUCUGAAGACACUGCACACGUCGAGGGUUCACAGUGAUCCCUGUUUUCAUCGAGCCUGGCUGCAGGCCCUGUUCUGGGCGGGCAGGUUCCUGCUCGGGGACCUGCGGCGCUGGCACUUGUGCAGAUUCCUCUUUUCAGAGCUGAGCAUCAAGGUCUCUGGCACCUGCACUGAGCUCCUCGUCCACGCUCCGCCAGAGGCCCAUUUUCCUUGUUGGUGCGUUGUGGGGGUGUCCAGGGGUGGGUUCUUUUCGACAUGGCCACACAUGCCUGGAGUUCCGUUUACUGUUUCAGUGACCCCAACCGCCCUCUUCCGCAACUGUGCUGCCCCCGUCCACUCAUUUACUGGCUUGGUUGUGUUGGUGCUGUGUGGAUGCCCAUGCAGGAGGUCCAUUUAUACACGCACAGCGCCAUCUGUUGAACGCUUUCCACACUCUCCACUCCCCUGCGCACCACCCAGCCGCCCUCUUCCCUCUGCGCCGAGCUUCCCUGUGAUGUCCAGUCCCCUGCCUGUCCCCUUCGUCUUGCUCCACUUGCACCGUGAGAGAACACUUGGCCCUGGCCUGUCCCAGCCUCGCUGAUCUCACUUAGCAUCAUGUUCUCCGGCUCCUCCCAGUUACUGCCAAAUGCCAUGACUUAAUUCUUUUGGCUUAGUAGAGAACCAUCUGUGCCACAUUGUCUUUAUCCAUUCAGCUGUUGAUGGCCACCUGGGCUGGUUCCACAGCUUGGCUAUUGUGAGCUGUGCUGCUGUAAACAUUGAGGUGGCUGCGUCACGAUAGGGUGCUGAUUUUGGUUCUUUUGAUGAAUACCCAGGAGUGGCAUAGCUGGGUCACAUGGUAGUUCCCUUCCGAGUUCUUUGAGGACUCUUCAUUCGGCUUUCCAGAGUGGCUGCACUGAUUUGCAGUCCCACUAACAAUGAACGACUGUAAAUUUCCCCCAGAUCCUUGCCAGCGUUAUUAUUUGUGUUCUUGAAGAGUGCCAUUCUACCACAAUGACAUGGAAUCUCAGUGGAGUUUUUUUUGUUUGUUUUGUUUUUGUUUUGGUACUCGGGAUUCAACCCAGGGCACUCAGGCACUGAGCCACAUCCCCAGCCAUUGUUUAUGUUUUAUUUACAGACAGGGCCUGGCCAAGUUCCUGGGGCUGGCUUUGAACUCAUGAUCUUUUAACCCCUGUCUUUGAUCCCCACUGUGACAUGACUUUCCAGAGGGUCCAUCUUCACGGUUCCUGAGCUCUGCUGUCACUUCCUGAUCCACGAGGAGGCCAUACUUGUAUAAGGGUUCAUCUUGUGUCGUCUGUCUGUGAGUUUGACAGACAAACAACAGGUUGUUGCGGCAAUGAUCCUGGAGACAACCCGACUCCCCUGGUUACCCCUCCCUAUCAAACCUGCUGGCUAGUGCUGUUGGUGAAGCUGCAGCACAGAGCAGGCACCACUGCCGGGGAUCCUCAUCCUUCCUGGGUUGUGCCUGUCAGCCUCCCCGCCUCCCUCCCAGCCUCCCUCCCAGCCUCCCACUCUCUGCCUCUGGAUUUCUGCAGCGGCUGCCCCACCCCAGGUCUCUCUCUGCAUGGUCUGUUCUCCCCCACAGGCGUUAGAGGGCACCCCAGCACCUGAGGUGCAUGUGCCUGAUCUGAUCCCAGUCCUCUGUCUGGCAUCAAGAUGCAUUGUCGGUGGGCUGGGGUUGGGGCUCAGUGGCAGGGCGCUCGCCGAGCAUGUGUGAGGCCCUGGGUUCCAUUUGUUAGACCAGGACGCAGGAAAAGACCACUGACUCCAAUUAAAGUCAGAUUAAAGCCAGCUUAUGAUUCCAACCGGCCGGGCUGCCUCUCCCAACAAGAACCUCGGGGACAAGAGCCCCACAGCUUUCCUGCAGCCCAGCUUUAUAGCCCAGAAAGUCACACACGGGGUGUGUGUGUGUGUCAUAGAUGACAAAACUCUGAGGAGCAUAACACAGAGGCUAGUUUACGUUUUUGCUGGCCCCGACGUAAGAAUUCAUGAAGGUUGGGGCUGGGGAUGUGGCUCAGGCGGUAGCGCGCUCGCCUGGCAUGCGUGCGGCCCGGGUUCGAUCCUCAGCACCACAUACAAACAAAGAUGUUGUGUCCGC
RNAcentral lists this long non-coding RNA (2636 nucleotides) under Marmota monax (woodchuck). The record is from RNAcentral. Lineage: Eukaryota; Metazoa; Chordata; Mammalia; Rodentia; Sciuridae.